Molecule: long non-coding RNA, 355 nt
Organism: Numida meleagris (helmeted guineafowl)
Lineage: Eukaryota; Metazoa; Chordata; Aves; Galliformes; Numididae
Exons: 3
Source: RefSeq, a predicted model, not a curated record
AUGAGGCAUGUUACCAUAGUAACUGCCAAUGGUUUAUUUAAGAAGGGCAAAGAAACAAACACCACAAAAAGGCGAAGUCGAGAGGAAUAGAAGAUUGCUGGAGGAAUCUGUCGGGACACAGACAACACAGGGCCAGUGAUUGUUGCCAUGUUCACCUACCACCCGCGCUGCGUUCACAUCCCUGAUGUCCAUGCCACCCAAUAGGGCCUACUGCUGUGAUGCUCUGCGAUGGAUGAGCACCUGGGAAAGAGCUGUUGUCUGAAUCCCUUCCUUCUGCCAGGGCUGAGCUCCAGGUUGGAAAAUGAGUAUUGCAAAAGGAAAAGAAGAGGGAAAAGAAUCAUAGAAUCAUUAAGGU